This 2903-nucleotide ribosomal RNA is filed under the name Escherichia coli. RNAcentral describes it as "23S ribosomal RNA". It matches the Rfam family "Bacterial large subunit ribosomal RNA". The record is from RNAcentral. Lineage: Bacteria; Pseudomonadati; Pseudomonadota; Gammaproteobacteria; Enterobacterales; Enterobacteriaceae.
GGUUAAGCGACUAAGCGUACACGGUGGAUGCCCCGGCAGUCAGAGGCGAUGAAGGACGUGCUAAUCUGCGAUAAGCGUCGGUAAGGUGAUAUGAACCGUUAUAACCGGCGAUUUCCGAAUGGGGAAACCCAGUGUGAUUCGUCACACUAUCAUUAACUGAAUCCAUAGGUUAAUGAGGCGAACCGGGGGAACUGAAACAUCUAAGUACCCCGAGGAAAAGAAAUCAACCGAGAUUCCCCCAGUAGCGGCGAGCGAACGGGGAGCAGCCCAGAGCCUGAAUCAGUGUGUGUGUUAGUGGAAGCGUCUGGAAAGGCGCGCGAUACAGGGUGACAGCCCCGUACACAAAAAUGCACAUACUGUGAGCUCGAUGAGUAGGGCGGGACACGUGGUAUCCUGUCUGAAUAUGGGGGGACCAUCCUCCAAGGCUAAAUACUCCUGACUGACCGAUAGUGAACCAGUACCGUGAGGGAAAGGCGAAAAGAACCCCGGCGAGGGGAGUGAAAAAGAACCUGAAACCGUGUACGUACAAGCAGUGGGAGCACGCUUAGGCGUGUGACUGCGUACCUUUUGUAUAAUGGGUCAGCGACUUAUAUUCUGUAGCAAGGUUAACCGAAUAGGGGAGCCGAAGGGAAACCGAGUCUUAACUGGGCGUUAAGUUGCAGGGUAUAGACCCGAAACCCGGUGAUCUAGCCAUGGGCAGGUUGAAGGUUGGGUAACACUAACUGGAGGACCGAACCGACUAAUGUUGAAAAAUUAGCGGAUGACUUGUGGCUGGGGGUGAAAGGCCAAUCAAACCGGGAGAUAGCUGGUUCUCCCCGAAAGCUAUUUAGGUAGCGCCUCGUGAAUUCAUCUCCGGGGGUAGAGCACUGUUUCGGCAAGGGGGUCAUCCCGACUUACCAACCCGAUGCAAACUGCGAAUACCGGAGAAUGUUAUCACGGGAGACACACGGCGGGUGCUAACGUCCGUCGUGAAGAGGGAAACAACCCAGACCGCCAGCUAAGGUCCCAAAGUCAUGGUUAAGUGGGAAACGAUGUGGGAAGGCCCAGACAGCCGGGAUGUUGGCUUAGAAGCAGCCAUCAUUUAAAGAAAGCGUAAUAGCUCACUGGUCGAGUCGGCCUGCGCGGAAGAUGUAACGGGGCUAAACCAUGCACCGAAGCUGCGGCAGCGACACUAUGUGUUGUUGGGUAGGGGAGCGUUCUGUAAGCCUGUGAAGGUGUGCUGUGAGGCAUGCUGGAGGUAUCAGAAGUGCGAAUGCUGACAUAAGUAACGAUAAAGCGGGUGAAAAGCCCGCUCGCCGGAAGACCAAGGGUUCCUGUCCAACGUUAAUCGGGGCAGGGUGAGUCGACCCCUAAGGCGAGGCCGAAAGGCGUAGUCGAUGGGAAACAGGUUAAUAUUCCUGUACUUGGUGUUACUGCGAAGGGGGGACGGAGAAGGCUAUGUUGGCCGGGCGACGGUUGUCCCGGUUUAAGCGUGUAGGCUGGUUUUCCGGGCAAAUCCGGAAAAUCAAGGCUGAGGCGUGAUGACGAGGCACUACGGUGCUGAAGCAACAAAUGCCCUGCUUCCGGGAAAAGCCUCUAAGCAUCAGGUAACAUCAAAUCGUACCCCAAACCGACACAGGUGGUCAGGUAGAGAAUACCAAGGCGCUUGAGAGAACUCGGGUGAAGGAACUAGGCAAAAUGGUGCCGUAACUUCGGGAGAAGGCACGCUGAUAUGUAGGUGAAGUCCCUUGCGGAUGGAGCUGAAAUCAGUCGAAGAUACCAGCUGGCUGCAACUGUUUAUUAAAAACACAGCACUGUGCAAACACGAAAGUGGACGUAUACGGUGUGACGCCUGCCCGGUGCCGGAAGGUUAAUUGAUGGGGUCAGCGCAAGCGAAGCUCUUGAUCGAAGCCCCGGUAAACGGCGGCCGUAACUAUAACGGUCCUAAGGUAGCGAAAUUCCUUGUCGGGUAAGUUCCGACCUGCACGAAUGGCGUAAUGAUGGCCAGGCUGUCUCCACCCGAGACUCAGUGAAAUUGAACUCGCUGUGAAGAUGCAGUGUACCCGCGGCAAGACGGAAAGACCCCGUGAACCUUUACUAUAGCUUGACACUGAACAUUGAGCCUUGAUGUGUAGGAUAGGUGGGAGGCUUGGAAGUGUGGACGCCAGUCUGCAUGGAGCCGACCUUGAAAUACCACCCUUUAAUGUUUGAUGUUCUAACGUUGACCCGUAAUCCGGGUUGCGGACAGUGUCUGGUGGGUAGUUUGACUGGGGCGGUCUCCUCCUAAAGAGUAACGGAGGAGCACGAAGGUUGGCUAAUCCUGGUCGGACAUCAGGAGGUUAGUGCAAUGGCAUAAGCCAGCUUGACUGCGAGCGUGACGGCGCGAGCAGGUGCGAAAGCAGGUCAUAGUGAUCCGGUGGUUCUGAAUGGAAGGGCCAUCGCUCAACGGAUAAAAGGUACUCCGGGGAUAACAGGCUGAUACCGCCCAAGAGUUCAUAUCGACGGCGGUGUUUGGCACCUCGAUGUCGGCUCAUCACAUCCCGGGGCUGAAGUAGGUCCCAAGGGUAUGGCUGUUCGCCAUUUAAAGUGGUACGCGAGCUGGGUUUAGAACGUCGUGAGACAGUUCGGUCCCUAUCUGCCGUGGGCGCUGGAGAACUGAGGGGGGCUGCUCCUAGUACGAGAGGACCGGAGUGGACGCAUCACUGGUGUUCGGGUUGUCAUGCCAAUGGCACUGCCCGGUAGCUAAAUGCGGAAGAGAUAAGUGCUGAAAGCAUCUAAGCACGAAACUUGCCCCGAGAUGAGUUCUCCCUGACUCCUUGAGAGUCCUGAAGGAACGUUGAAGACGACGACGUUGAUAGGCCGGGUGUGUAAGCGCAGCGAUGCGUUGAGCUAACCGGUACUAAUGAACCGUGAGGCUUAACCUU